UUACCAUCAUUGAGUUGGGGACUCUAGCGAGACUGCCAGUGAUAAACUGGAGGAAGGUGGGGAUGACGUCAAAUCAUCAUGCCCCUUAUGACCUGGGCUACAAACGUGAUACAAUGGCUGAAACAAAGGGCAGCGAAGCAGUGAUGUGGAGCGAAACCCAAAAAGCAGUCUCAGUUCGGAUUGAAGUCUGCAACUCGACUUCAUGAAGUCGGAAUCGCUAGUAAUCGCGGAUCAGAACGCCGCGGUGAAUACGUUCUCGGGGUUU
Molecule: ribosomal RNA, 265 nt
Filed under: uncultured Acholeplasma sp.
Lineage: Bacteria; Bacillati; Mycoplasmatota; Mollicutes; Acholeplasmatales; Acholeplasmataceae
Description: partial 16S ribosomal RNA
Rfam family: Bacterial small subunit ribosomal RNA
Source: RNAcentral